This 359-nucleotide unclassified non-coding RNA is filed under the name soil metagenome. Its description in RNAcentral is "partial contains 5.8S ribosomal RNA, internal transcribed spacer 2, and large subunit ribosomal RNA". The stretch from base 1 to 120 matches the Rfam family "5.8S ribosomal RNA", at positions 35 to 154 of the family's 154-position model. The record is from RNAcentral.
GAUGAAGAACGUAGCGAAAUGCGAUAAGUAAUGUGAAUUGCAGAAUUCAGUGAAUCAUCGAAUCUUUGAACGCACAUUGCGCCCGUCAGUAUUCUGGCGGGCAUGCCUGUUCGAGCGUCAUUACGCCCCUCAAGUCCCCUGUGGACUUGGUGUUGGGGAUCGGCGAGGCUGGUUUUCCAGCACAGCCGUCCCUUAAAUUAAUUGGCGGUCUCGCCGUGGCCCUCCUCUGCGCAGUAGUAAAACACUCGCAACAGGAGCCCGGCGCGGUCCACUGCCGUAAAACCCCCCAACUUUUUAUAGUUGACCUCGAAUCAGGUAGGACUACCCGCUGAACUUAAGCAUAUCAAAUAAGCGGAGGA